Molecule: non-coding RNA, 98 nt
Organism: Triticum aestivum (bread wheat)
Lineage: Eukaryota; Viridiplantae; Streptophyta; Magnoliopsida; Poales; Poaceae
Source: Rfam
UCAUUCGGAUUCGCCAUCAUACGUCCAACCGUGCAUUUGAUAUGCAUAUAUAUGCAUCACGAGCCACGGUUAGGCUGUAUGAUGGCGAUACCGAUUGG